UGCCUUUGUUCUUACAUACAAUGAAAUGAAGAAUGAAAGAAAAAAAAUCUAUAUUAGUUAAAGAUAAUUAAUUUUUUUAUUACUUCAUAGUUUAUAUGUUUUAUUUUUUCUGUUUUAAAAAAUAGUUAAAAUCAUUUAAGUAAUACAAGUUCCAAGUCUCACUAUCCCUACAAGAUCCCCUUGUAUCAAUCUAAACAAAUUAUUAGGAGGAAUUAAAAGUUUAACCAUUUCAACUCUUUAAAAGAAAU
RNAcentral lists this long non-coding RNA (248 nucleotides) under Durio zibethinus. Its description in RNAcentral is "long non-coding RNA (DZIB_LNC000447)". The record is from RNAcentral. Lineage: Eukaryota; Viridiplantae; Streptophyta; Magnoliopsida; Malvales; Malvaceae.